Molecule: unclassified non-coding RNA, 240 nt
Filed under: soil metagenome
Description: partial contains 5.8S ribosomal RNA, internal transcribed spacer 2, and large subunit ribosomal RNA
Source: RNAcentral
AACGCACGAGACCUGCGGACCUGCGGAGGGAUCAUUACCGAGUGUGGGUUCGUUUCGAGCCCUAUCUCCCACCCGUGUUUACCGUGACCAUGUUGCUUUGGCGGGCCCACUGGGGCCCUGGCCCCGGUCGCCGGGGGGCUGCUGCCCCCGGGCCCGUGCCCGCCGAAGCGCCUGUGAACCCUGUCUGAAUAGUGAGUCUGAGUGGAAGAUUGAAUUAUUAAAACUUUUAGCAACGGAUCU